GGCUGCAACCCGCCUGCAUGAAGUUGGAAUUGCUAGUAAUCGCGGAUCAGCAUGCCGCGGUGAAUACGUUCCCGGGUCUUGUACACACCGCCCGUCACACCAUGGGAGCCGGUAAUACCGAAGUCAGUAGUCUAACCGCAAGGAGGACGCUGCCGAAGGUAGGAUUGGCGACUGGGGUGAAGUCGUAACAAGGUACC
This 197-nucleotide ribosomal RNA is filed under the name uncultured bacterium. RNAcentral describes it as "partial 16S ribosomal RNA". It matches the Rfam family "Bacterial small subunit ribosomal RNA", at positions 1303 to 1500 of the family's 1533-position model. The record is from RNAcentral.